This 526-nucleotide long non-coding RNA is filed under the name Callithrix jacchus (white-tufted-ear marmoset). RNAcentral describes it as "lncRNA (ENSCJAG00000079956.1)". The record is from RNAcentral. Lineage: Eukaryota; Metazoa; Chordata; Mammalia; Primates; Cebidae.
AUGAAGAAACAGAGACAAGUCAUUUGGCUGAAAAGAUGUGAAAGUGGGCUGAGCAUCCAGACAGUGUGGCUCUGGAGUCCAUGAGCCACAUCCCUCUACAUCGCUGCUAUAAAGGAUAAUUCUCCAGAAAAAAAAUAAAUAUUAUUUGGGACCAGAAGACAACUCAAAGAAAUAUUGUUUCGGCUAUAUCAGACAGUAAAGAUUUUGACUAUGAAAUUUUAUGCUUCUUUGUCUCUGGAUGUUAUCUCAGAAAAAUACAGUCUCACUUUGUUGCCCAGGUUGAAGUGCAGUGGAACAAUCUCAGCUCAUGCAGCCUCCACCUCCCAGGUUCAAGCCGUUCUCCUGCCUCAGCCUCCUGAGUGUAGCUGGGACUAUAGGCACUCACCACCAGGCCCAGGAGGCUGAGGCAGAAGAAUUGCCUGAACCAGGAGGCAGAGGUUGUGGUGAGCCGAGAUCACGCCAUUGCACUCCAGCCUGCAUAACAAGAGCGAAACUCCGUCUCAAAAAAAUAAAAAGAAGUUAUUGA